GCUAGAAGCCAGAUGAAUAACUUCCUUCUAUCAGAAGAAGGGAACAACUACCUCAAAACAGGAAAUGAGACACUAUCCCAAGAGAUAAAGCUACCAUAAUUCUGAGUGCCACAACCGUUGGAAGAUAUCAGGUACGUUGGGGCCUCCACCUGAAAAGGCAGAGCUGUGCCUAAGCUUACCCUUGAUAGAAAGGAAACCAACGGCAUGUCGUCUGCAGUCAAACAAAUCCCAGCGUGGAAAAGAAGAAGAUAAGCCCAAUAUUGGCCAGGCAGAACUCUAUCUGCUGUG
Microtus oregoni (creeping vole) is the source of this 288-nucleotide long non-coding RNA. RefSeq lists it as uncharacterized. The transcript has 3 exons. The record is from RefSeq and is a predicted model, not a curated record. NCBI's taxonomy places the organism in Eukaryota, Metazoa, Chordata, Mammalia, Rodentia, Cricetidae.